CAUUGAACGGACGCAAUCGUUGCUAGGAUGGUAACGACAAGGAUGGGAAAUGGACACCUCUGGACGAGGCAAGGACUGAACAUCAGGAUGAUGGCAGGGACACCGCUCAGGGAACAAGUGAUGUGAACUCGCUAGGAUUGUGAGUUGUAAUGGAAGACACAGGACACCGCUAGGAUGGCGAUGCAAGGAUUGAGCUGACGGAUUGCAGCGUACUAUCAAGGAUUAGAUGCAGGGAGCACCUUUUAGUAGCUGGAAUGCUGCGAGUAAGACUCUAACCCCGGUGGGCUUGCCCCCGGGGUUUUCUUUUUUC
This 310-nucleotide non-coding RNA is filed under the name Vibrio cholerae. The record is from RNAcentral. RNAcentral also lists the same sequence under 1 other name. Lineage: Bacteria; Pseudomonadati; Pseudomonadota; Gammaproteobacteria; Vibrionales; Vibrionaceae.